This is a long non-coding RNA of Dermacentor silvarum, 2531 nucleotides long. RefSeq lists it as uncharacterized. The record is from RefSeq and is a predicted model, not a curated record. The transcript has 3 exons. Lineage: Eukaryota; Metazoa; Arthropoda; Arachnida; Ixodida; Ixodidae.
UGAAGAUGUAGAUUAAAAAGAAAAGUACUUCUAAAAAGUGAUUAUUUUACGCUGUAUUAUUAAUCAAAACAAACAAUCUGUUUUUUUCAACAAAAUACGAAAAGAUUUUUUUUAUUAUGAGUAAGUGAAGUCAAUGCCGGCCAAGAAAAAUGCCUAGCCAAUCCAGAAUGACAUAGCGGCGUGCGACGAGGUGCCAUUUGAUCCUGCUAGAACAGAAUAUGAGCGCGUUUUAGACUUAUUUGUGCGCAAGAGCUGUUCAACCACUAAAAUGAACUUCUGUGCCCCUUUUUUACGCAUUACAUUUUGUACCAUUGAAACCGCUGGCGGCGAGGCUACGCACUCGGCCAGAUGAGUGCGUUCCGUGAAUGCACUUCGACCGGAGUGACACUCUCCCUCACCUGGAGAGGAACGGCCUGGCUGCCACCGCUUUUUCUUGGACAGAACCAGCAGCACGACGGAACCAAGCACUGUGGCCGAGCCAGCCACCAACACUACGGCCAGGGGCCACGCCUUGUCUCCUUCGCCACCUGCAUGACCGGCCCAGAACCGAGACGUGUCUUCUGACUGCCCGACCCAUUACUCACGCCACAGAAUUGGUGACCUUGGGAGGAUCAACUACAAGUCUGAGCUGCCCGCCGAUCGACCAGCAUGCAAGCUUUCUUCAGUAGCCUUACAUCUGCACAAGUUCUGGCCCUCCGACACACACCUCUGGCUGGCCCAGGUGAACAGCCAGUUUGCUGUUGCAAGGAUCUCAUCACAGACACAAAGUUUUAUUGUGUUGUUUCUGACCUGCCACCCGAGAUCGCAAUCGAGGUACGAGAUCCAAUUCUCAUGCCUACCUAGUCGAACCCGUAUGACACACUUAUGGCUGAGCUUCUGAGACGCACAUCCCUUUCUGACCAGUGCCAACUGCAACAACUUAUCUUGGCAAAAGAACUUGGUGACCACAAACCUUUCCAACUCCUGCGUCACCUUCAACAACUUCUUGGAGACAAGAUAGCUACUUUCGACCACGACCUCCUCCGUGAACUGUUCCUGCAUCUAGUGUUUGCAAGGUGCCCGUGUCCACUACCGAGUUAUCACAGGAUCAGCUUGCCCAACUGCAUCAUGGAAAUAAAUUGCUCGAAGAUCGGCUCCAUGGAUACCUCGUCAUCGCACCCCGACCCAUCGUCUCUCCUAGUUUCAUCGGCUGUACAGAGUAUCCGUGACGAGAAGUUCCAUCAAGAAAUCAGAAAACUGUCUGCUCGGCUAGCGGCCCUCAGCACUGCUCCACGUCUCGCCACAACGUGCUGGUAUCAGCGAGGCCACCUGCGAGUGUACAGUCCCUUGCUCCUUCCAGGGAAACAGCCCGGCUCACCAUUAGCAGUGACAAAGCUUGAAAUACAGACUGACCAGGUCACAUGCAAGCAUAUGUGCAUGCUUGCAGCAACAAGUUGACCAGCUUUUCUGGCUGCUUGUGGUAUAAAGACUUAUUUUCUGGCAAAUUCUCUACUUCGGACCCCAUUUAUUCAGACAUUUAGACGGUCCCUGCCCCAUGAUGCACUGCCCGUGCAUCAAAGUGCUGUUUUUGGAUUCUCCAUUCAUGUCCCGGUGCUCCAGGGUAGUGUGUCAUGUUCGUUGAAGGAACACGGUAUGUGGUGUACAUGGAGUGGUGGAACAACAGUUCUGUGCUUUUGCGACGAGUAGGGACAACUACGCCACGGUUACGUUACCAUGAAACAACGGACAUCAAAGAAGAAAAAGUGCAUGUGGUGGUGUGGCGCGAGUAGCGAGCGCGAGAGCCGCCAUUCGAUUUGAAGAAGACGAGACUCAUCGAGGGCUGCCAGGAGAAGCGUUGCAGCAACUCGGUCCCAUGGGCGAUUGCUGGCAGCUAUUGGUUCGCUCGGGCGCCCGUGUCCUACAGCUUCAGGCCGGAACUGCCGGUGAGCGCGGGCAGCUACUGGUUCGCUCGACCACCUCCCGUGCGUACAGCCACAGCCUGGUCCCGCGAGCGAUUGCGGGUGGCUACUUGGUCUGUCCAGCCGCCUGGUCCGGAAGUGAAGGUGGGACCUGCCGAAGAGCUCGUGCGACUCCGUGGUCCGUCCCGUCAUUGGGCCAAACUCUCAGUGCGAGUUGGCCGACAAGAGCAGGUGGUUCUGCGUCAAGACCAACUGUCGGAAGACCAGCAGGCACUCACUGCGCCAGCGUCACGUCGGCGUCGUUUCUCCAUGUCUGCACCCCCAUCACCGUGUUCCGAGCUCCUGGGCCCACGAAUCAUCACAGCCUUACUUCGCCACCCACAGAAGCACGCCCCAGAUGGGCGGGAGAUGACGCCCACAAUACGAGUGCGGCUGGAGUGCCCCCGACAACUGCCAUCCCAAUAAUAAGUGGUCCCACCACGUACAGCUUCAGAGGUCCAUUCGAAAAAAGCAGACAGCUCGACUCACCCGAGCUAGGCCCCACGAGCCACCAGCCGGAGGACUCUGCAGAGCCGUUUAAUGUGCUCACACGAUGGUGGACGGGGUGGCAGAGGCGGCUGCGGUUGCCACCAC